AGGACGAACGCUGGCGGCGCGCCUAACACAUGCAAGUCGAACGAGCGAGAGAGAGCUUGCUUUCUCGAGCGAGUGGCGAACGGGUGAGUAACGCGUGAGGAACCUGCCUCAAAGAGGGGGACAACAGUUGGAAACGACUGCUAAUACCGCAUAAGCCCACGGCUCGGCAUCGAGCAGGGGGAAAGGAGCAAUCCGCUUUGAGAUGGACCCGCGUCUGAUUAGCUUGUUGGUGAGGUAACGGCCCACCAAGGCGACGAUCAGUAGCCGGCCUGAGAGGGUGAACGGCCACAUUGGGACUGAGACACGGCCCAAACUCCUACGGGAGGCAGCAGUGGGGAAUAUUGCACAAUGGGGGAAACCCUGAUGCAGCGACGCCGCGUGAGUGAUGAAGUAUUUCGGUAUGUAAAACUCUAUCAGCAGGGAAGAUAAUGACGGUACCUGACUAAGAAGCACCGGCUAAAUACGUG
This 467-nucleotide ribosomal RNA is filed under the name uncultured bacterium. RNAcentral describes it as "bacterial SSU rRNA". It matches the Rfam family "Bacterial small subunit ribosomal RNA", at positions 26 to 507 of the family's 1533-position model. The record is from RNAcentral.